Molecule: RNA transcript, 1347 nt
Organism: Aegilops tauschii subsp. strangulata
Lineage: Eukaryota; Viridiplantae; Streptophyta; Magnoliopsida; Poales; Poaceae
Gene name: chitinase CLP
Source: RefSeq, a predicted model, not a curated record
CUACCUUCACAGCAUCGAUCCUCCCAACUCCUAAGCUUAAGCUCAGCUUCGCCCAACACAUCACCGGCCAAAAUGUGGCAGUCCAAGCCAGUCCUGCUCCUGCUCCUGCUCGCCGUCACCACGGCGGCGACCAGCGGUAAGCCGCUGCUCACGAAGAUCACCAAGGGUGCCGCGUCCACGGCGCUCUACACCGCGCCCCUCAGCGCCGGCCGCCCGCUGGUCCUCGACCUGUCCGCCCCGGCCAUCACGACGCCGUGCAGCGGGCAGACGACGACCGUCACGCUCUCCGCCAACUCCACCGACGGCAGCAACCCGCUGUCCCCGGUCUCCUUCGCUGCCACCGCCACCUGUGCGGCGGCCCCCUCCGGCGCCGUCGGCGUCGCGGGGCUCGCGCGCUCUAGCGCAUCGUUCCCGGCACAGGUCGCCAGUACACAGAAGGUGGCCAACUCGUUCGCGCUCUGCCUCCCGAGCGACGGCAGGACCGGGUUCAGCGGCAACGGCGUGGGCGCGGCCAUCUUCGGUGGCGGCCCGUUCUUCCUCGCGCCCCCGGCGGACCGGCCGUCCAUUACGACGCUCCUCUCCGACGGCGUCCCGCUCCGCCAGCCCUUCGCCGGGAACCCCGGCUACUUCGUGACCGCCACCAACGGCAUCGCCAUCGACGGGACGCGCGUGACCGUGUCCGGCUCCGGUGCGCUUGUGGUCGGCCUCUCCACCACGAUCCCCUACGCGCAGCUCCGGAGCGACGUGUACCGCCCCUUCAUCACGGCCUUCGACCGCGCCAUGGGAUCCAGCGCCAAGGUGGCGGCGGUGAAGCCAUUCGAGCUGUGCUACGACUCGUCCAAGCUGGCGCCGACGCGGUUCGGGUACCUGGUGCCGAACGUGUGGACGUGAUGCUGGAGGGCGGGACGAACUGGACGGUGGUGGGCGGCAACUCCAUGGCGCAGGUGAACAGCGGCACGGCGUGCUUCGCGUUCGUCCGGUCGGGAGGCAGCACGGGGGGCGCGACGCCGGCGCUGGUGAUCGGAGGGUUCCAGAUGGAGAACAAGCUGGUGGUGCUGGACAACGGCAAGAAGACGCUCAGCUUCACCCAGAACCUCCCGGGCAUGGGCUUCUCCUGCAGCAACUUCAAUUUCACCAGAGGGCCGGCUAGUGAUCCACAUCGUUUGUUGCAUGCUGUGCGUACCAGGGCUCUAUGUUGAAACAAUAAAGGAUAUAAAAUACUAAAUCCAAUUGAAGUGACACUUUGUUUACGCUGUUAAUAUUAGUCAAGAUAUGAAUUGUAUGGAGGCACUAUGGCAAAUUUGUUUACACUUUUGUUUACGCGAUGAUGACAAAUUUAGUUUGCAA